Molecule: ribosomal RNA, 468 nt
Filed under: uncultured bacterium
Lineage: Bacteria
Description: partial 16S ribosomal RNA
Rfam family: Bacterial small subunit ribosomal RNA
Source: RNAcentral
GACGAACGCUGGCGGCGUGCUUAACACAUGCAAGUCGAACGGAAAGGCCCUGCUUUUGUGGGGUGCUCGAGUGGCGAACGGGUGAGUAACACGUGAGUAACCUGCCCUUGACUUUGGGAUAACUUCAGGAAACUGGGGCUAAUACCGGAUAGGAGCUCCUGCUGCAUGGUGGGGGUUGGAAAGUUUCGGCGGUUGGGGAUGGACUCGCGGCUUAUCAGCUUGUUGGUGGGGUAGUGGCUUACCAAGGCUUUGACGGGUAGCCGGCCUGAGAGGGUGACCGGCCACAUUGGGACUGAGAUACGGCCCAGACUCCUACGGGAGGCAGCAGUGGGGAAUAUUGCGCAAUGGGCGGAAGCCUGAUGCAGCAACGCCGCGUGCGGGAUGACGGCCUUCGGGUUGUAAACCGCUUUCGCCUGUGACGAAGCGUGAGUGACGGUAAUGGGUAAGGAAGCACCGGCUAACUACGUG